UACGUAGGGUGCAAGCGUUGUUCGGAAUCAUUGGGCGUAAAGCGCGUGCAGGUGGUUAGGUAAGUCGGGUGUGAAAUCCCUGGGCUCAACCGAGGAAGUGCACUCGAAACUACCUAGCUAGAGGACAGUAGAGGAAGGUGGAAUUCCUAGUGUAGAGGUGAAAUUCGUAGAUAUUAGGAGGAAUACCGGAGGCGAAGGCGACCUUCUGGGCUGUUCCUGACACUGAGACGCGAAAGCGUGGGU
This 243-nucleotide ribosomal RNA is filed under the name uncultured bacterium. Its description in RNAcentral is "partial 16S ribosomal RNA". It matches the Rfam family "Bacterial small subunit ribosomal RNA", at positions 524 to 766 of the family's 1533-position model. The record is from RNAcentral.